RNAcentral lists this ribosomal RNA (477 nucleotides) under uncultured bacterium. RNAcentral describes it as "partial 16S ribosomal RNA". It matches the Rfam family "Bacterial small subunit ribosomal RNA", at positions 30 to 507 of the family's 1533-position model. The record is from RNAcentral.
AUUGAACGCUGGCGGCAUGCCUUACACAUGCAAGUCGAACGGUAACAGGUUAAGCUGACGAGUGGCGAACGGGUGAGUAAUGUAUCGGAACGUGCCCAGUCGUGGGGGAUAACUGCUCGAAAGAGCAGCUAAUACCGCAUACGACCUGAGGGUGAAAGCGGGGGAUCGCAAGACCUCGCGCGAUUGGAGCGGCCGAGAUCAGAUUAGGUAGUUGGUGAGGUAAAGGCUCACCAAGCCGACGAUCUGUAGCUGGUCUGAGAGGACGACCAGCCACACUGGGACUGAGACACGGCCCAGACUCCUACGGGAGGCAGCAGUGGGGAAUUUUGGACAAUGGGCGCAAGCCUGAUCCAGCCAUGCCGCGUGCGGGAAGAAGGCCUUCGGGUUGUAAACCGCUUUUGUCAGGGAAGAAAAGGUUCUGGCUAAUACCUGGGACUCAUGACGGUACCUGAAGAAUAAGCACCGGCUAACUACGUG